UGCUCCGUAGUUCAGUGGUAGAAUAACGCACUGUUAAUGCGCAGGUCCUUGGUUCGAAUCCAAGUGGAGCAG
This 72-nucleotide transfer RNA is filed under the name Leuconostoc mesenteroides. RNAcentral describes it as "tRNA-Asn". It matches the Rfam family "tRNA". From Rfam's summary of the family: Transfer RNA (tRNA) molecules are approximately 80 nucleotides in length. Lineage: Bacteria; Bacillati; Bacillota; Bacilli; Lactobacillales; Lactobacillaceae. The record is from RNAcentral. RNAcentral also lists the same sequence under 2 other names.